AUAUCUCAACCAUGCCGAUUUAUGAUCGGUGUGGCUUGGAUCUGGGGGGUUUUGUGCAGGCUCCAGCUUUGUGGUCUGCCCCCCUGAAAUGCAUGAGUGGUCUCAAUCCUCCAUUAGGUGUGAUAAAUUAUCUGCAUCUGAUGGAAAGGUCGUGGCUGCUAUACGUCGUUUGGGGUUGAUAA
RNAcentral lists this unclassified non-coding RNA (182 nucleotides) under uncultured Inocybe. Its description in RNAcentral is "sequence contains ITS2". The record is from RNAcentral. Lineage: Eukaryota; Fungi; Basidiomycota; Agaricomycetes; Agaricales; Cortinariaceae.